RNAcentral lists this unclassified non-coding RNA (376 nucleotides) under uncultured Actinomycetes bacterium. RNAcentral's name for it is "uncultured actinobacterium contains 16S-23S intergenic spacer region". Lineage: Bacteria; Bacillati; Actinomycetota; Actinomycetes. The record is from RNAcentral.
UCCGAGUUGACCCCGGCAGUCUCCAAUGAGUCCCCGGCAUUACCCGCUGGCAACAUUGGACGAGGGUUGCGCUCGUUGCGGGACUUAACCCAACAUCUCACGACACGAGCUGACGACAACCAUGCACCACCUGUGCAGGGCCCUUGCGGACCCCCCAUCUCUGGGGGAUUUCCCUGCAUGUCAAGCCUUGGUAAGGUUCUUCGCGUUGCGUCGAAUUAAGCCACAUGCUCCGCCGCUUGUGCGGGCCCCCGUCAAUUCCUUUGAGUUUUAGCCUUGCGGCCGUACUCCCCAGGCGGGGCACUUAGUGCGUUAGCGACGGCACGGGAGGAGUCGACACCUCCCACACCUAGUGCCCAUCGUUUACGGCGUGGACUAC